CUACGGGUGGCUCCAGUGGGGAAUAUUGCACAAUGGGCGCAAGCCUGAUGCAGCCAUGCCGCGUGUAUGAAGAAGGCCUUCGGGUUGUAAAGUACUUUCAGCGGGGAGGAAGGGAGUAAAGUUAAUACCUUUGCUCAUUGACGUUACCCGCAGAAGAAGCACCGGCUAACUCCGUGCCAGCAGCCGCGGUAAUACGGAGGGUGCAAGCGUUAAUCGGAAUUACUGGGCGUAAAGCGCACGCAGGCGGUUUGUUAAGUCAGAUGUGAAAUCCCCGGGCGCAACCUGGGAACUGCAUCUGAUACUGGCAAGCUUGAGUCUCGUAGAGGGGGGUAGAAUUCCAGGUGUAGCGGUGAAAUGCGUGGAGAUCUGGAGGAAUACCGGUGGCGAAGGCGGCCCCCUGGACGAAGACUGACGCUCAGGUGCGAAAGCGUGGGGAGCAAACAGGAUUAGAUACCCUCGUAGUC
Molecule: ribosomal RNA, 464 nt
Filed under: uncultured bacterium
Lineage: Bacteria
Description: partial 16S ribosomal RNA
Rfam family: Bacterial small subunit ribosomal RNA
Source: RNAcentral